GACGAACCGAGCGAACGUUGUUCGGAAUCACUGGGCUUAAAGGGCGCGUAGGCGGGCUGUCAAGUCUGGGGUGAAAUCCCGCGGCUCAACCGUGGAACUGCCUCAGAUACUGACGGUCUCGAGGGAGGUAGGGGCGAGCGGAACUGAUGGUGGAGCGGUGAAAUGCGUUGAUAUCAUCAGGAACUCCGGUGGCGAAGGCGGCUCGCUGGACCUUUUCUGACGCUGAGGCGCGAAAGCUAGGGGAGCAAACGGG
RNAcentral lists this non-coding RNA (253 nucleotides) under uncultured bacterium. Its description in RNAcentral is "partial 16S ribosomal RNA". It matches the Rfam family "Bacterial small subunit ribosomal RNA", at positions 524 to 776 of the family's 1533-position model. The record is from RNAcentral. RNAcentral also lists the same sequence under 1 other name.